CAAAGGUUUGGUCCUGGCCUUAUUAUUAAUUUUAGCUACAUUUACACAUGCAAGUAUCAGCAUCCCCGUGAAAAUGCCCUCUACCACCAAUAAGUGUUGGAGGGGCGGAUAUCAGGCGCCCUAAAAUGCCAAAGACAUCUUGUUUAGCCACACCCUCAAGGGAACUCAGCAGUGAUAAACAUUGAAAAAUAAGCGACAAAAGCUUGAACCAGUGAUAGCUAAUAGAGUCGGUAAAUCUCGUGCCAGCCACCGCGGUUAUACGAAAGACUCAGAUUAAUAAAAUCGGCUCAAAGGGUGGUUAAAGAUAUAUACACUAAUAGAACUAAAAAUUAACUACGCUGUCGUACGCAAUAGUUUUAAAAAAAUUCAACAUCGAAAGCAGUUCUACUAAAACAAACUUGAACCCACGACAGUUAGGGCCCAAACUGGGAUUAGAUACCCCACUAUGCCUAACCAUAAACUUUGACUUAUCCGCCAGAGCACUACGAGCAACAGCUUAAAACUCAAAGGACUUGGCGGUGCUCUACACCCCCCUAGAGGAGCCUGUUCUAUAAUCGAUAAUCCACGAUAAACCUCACCAUCUAUUGCUAAUACAGCUUAUAUACCACCGUCCAGCCCACCCUUUAAAGGACAAACAGUAGGCACAAUUAUAAACAUAAGAACGUCAGGUCAAGGUGUAGCAUAUAAGAUGGGAAGAAAUGGGCUACAUUUUCUAACCUAGAAAACACGGAAAAGUUUAUGAAAUAAAACUAUAAAGGAGGAUUUAGCAGUAAAAAGAAAAAAGAGUGUUCUUUUUAAACCGGCAAUAGAGCGCGCACACACCGCCCGUCACCCUCUUCAAACAAUAAUAAAAUAUAGAUAAACAAUGAAUCAAAAAGAAGAAGAGGCAAGUCGUAACAUGGUAAGUCCACCGGAAGGUGAACUUGGAA
RNAcentral lists this non-coding RNA (929 nucleotides) under Notophthalmus meridionalis (black-spotted newt). The record is from RNAcentral. RNAcentral also lists the same sequence under 1 other name. Lineage: Eukaryota; Metazoa; Chordata; Amphibia; Caudata; Salamandridae.